Molecule: ribosomal RNA, 406 nt
Filed under: uncultured Lactobacillus sp.
Lineage: Bacteria; Bacillati; Bacillota; Bacilli; Lactobacillales; Lactobacillaceae
Description: bacterial SSU rRNA
Rfam family: Bacterial small subunit ribosomal RNA
Source: RNAcentral
AGGAUCGGGAUAACACCUGGAAACAGAUGCUAAUACCGGAUAACAACAGAUGAUGCCUAUCAACUGUUUAAAAGAUGGGUUCUGCUAUCACUCUUGGAUGGACCUGCGGUGCAUUAGCUAGUUGGUAGGGUAACGGCCUACCAAGGCGAUGAUGCAUAGCCCGAGUUGAGAGACUGAUCGGCCACAUUGGGACUGAGACACGGCCCCAAACUCCUACGGGAGGCAGCAGUAGGGAAUCUUCCACAAUGGACGCAAGUCUGAUGGAGCAACGCCGCGUGAGUGAAGAAGGGUUUCGGCUCGUAAAGCUCUGUUGUUGGUGAAGAAGGACAGGGGGUAGUAACUGACCUUUGUUUGACGGUAAUCAAUUAGAAAGUCACGGCUAACUACGUGCCAGCAGCCGCGGUAU